AGAACGAACGCUGGCGGCAGGCUUAACACAUGCAAGUCGAACGCUCCGCAAGGGGAGUGGCAGACGGGUGAGUAACGCGUGGGAACAUACCCCUCGGUUCGGAAUAACUCAGGGAAACUUGAGCUAAUACCGGAUACGGUCGAGAGGCGAAAGAUUUAUCGGCUAAGGAUGGACUCGCGGCCUAUCAGCUUGUUGGUGGGGUAGAAGCCUACCAAGGCGACGACGGGUAGCC
Molecule: ribosomal RNA, 232 nt
Filed under: uncultured bacterium
Lineage: Bacteria
Description: partial small subunit ribosomal RNA
Rfam family: Bacterial small subunit ribosomal RNA
Source: RNAcentral